AUGAGUUGUUUCGGGUAUCGCAGAGAGCUGAGUAAGUAUGAGGAUAUCGAUGAGGACGAGCUUCUGGCUUCCCUCACGCCCGAGGAGCUGGCCGAGUUGGAAAAAGAGCUGGUGGACAUCGAUCCUGACGACAAUGUGCCAAUCGGACUCAGACAGAGAGACCAAACAGAUAAAACACCGACGGGAACCUUCAGCAGAGAGUCCCUCAUGAAGUACUGGGAAAAUGAAACUCGUAGACUGCUGGAGGAUGAGAUGGGCGGAAGAAGCUCCGGACUGGAAGAAGAAGCAGAUGAGGAGAGCAGUACAGAAGGAAACAGUGAAGGGGAGGAUGAAAAGGACGAUGAAAACGAAAAACAGCAGAAAAGGUAUGAUACACGGAGCGAGGAACAGGAGAAGGAGGACGAGGACAAAGAAGAGGAAGAGGAGAGCGAGGAAGAGUCAGAGCCUGUGACAGAAGAGGAUGAAGAGGAAGAGGAGGAAGAAGAGGAAGAAGAGGAGGAGGAGGAGGAGGAGGAGGAGGAAGAGCAAGUCACGAAAGCAGAACCUGAACCGUUGAAGUUUUCAGGGCAGCGGGCUUCACAGGCCAGCAGUCCGAUGCUGCUCAAGCCCCAGAGGGUGGAGCCUAUGAGGCUGACUCCUCCCCCUCCACCUGCUGACUCAUGCGGAAACCCAACCGUGGUCGAUGAUGUUCUGCAGCGCGCUCUGAGCAAUGACCCCGAACUCACAGAGGUUAAUCUGAACAACAUCGACGACAUCUCACAGGAAACUCUCAUCCAGUUUGCUGAGGCUCUGAGGUCCAACACACACGUUAAGGUCUUCACCCUCGCAAACACGAAGGCCGACGACCACGUGGCCGUAGCCAUCGCCAAGAUGCUGAGGCAGAACUCCUCCAUCGUCAGCCUCAAUAUAGAGUCCAACUAUGUGAGUGGGAAAGGCGUGAUGGCAAUGGUCCAGGCGCUUCCAGGAAACAGCACGCUGACCGAACUUCGGUUCCACAACCAGCGACACAUGUGUGGAGGACAGGUCGAAAUGGAGAUGGUGAAGAUUUUGAGGGAGAACUACACUUUAAUAAAGCUGGGCUACCAGUUCAACCUCCCCGGUCCCAGGAUGAGCAUGACGGGGAUCCUCACCAGGAACCAGGACCGCCAGCGGCAGAAGCGGCUGCAGGAGCAGCGGCAGCAGCAGCAGCAGGGCCAACAAGACGGAGUCGUCAACCCUCGAACCACAGCGCUGAGAGGAACCCCUUCUUCAUCACCAUAUAACUCACCCAGAGCCUCACCUUGGUCAUCGCCCAAGCUGCCUAAAAAACAGACUCCCCCUGCGCCCCCGCCGCCCCCUCCCCCUCCUCCCCCUCCCCCUCCGCCGCCGCCUCCCCAGCAGCAGGAGAAGAAGCGGCCCACCAGGAUGAUAGCGGAGGUCAUCAAGGCGCACGAGGCGGGGAGCAAAAAGACAACAAAGACAAAGGGCAAGAAGGGGAAGAAGGGGAAGGACAAGAAUGCAGGGAAAGAUGAGACGAGCAGCAUCCUGAAGGAGCUGAAGAAUGCCCUCAGGCCCGUGGGGGUGGACAAGAGAGGGGAGGAGGGCAGCAGGCCGUCCACGCCCAUGAGGUCGGCUCACGAUCAGCUGAUGGAGUCGAUCCGCAACAGCAGCAUCCGCAGCCUGAGACGGGUGGAAAUCCCCCAUCAUCUACGAUAAUACCUGCAGGAAUUAAAAAAAAUAAAUAAAAAGGAUCCAUACCAUUGGUUGAAUCUGCAUCGUGAUGAGGAUGGAGCAACCGACAGCGAUGAAGGACAUAAAACACGAAAGAUGGAAACGGGAGUGAUCCGAGAAGACAAACAGGAAUCCUUACUCAUCAGAUACAGCAAACAUGGAAACUUGCACUGGAAAUGAUAGCUUUACAUUUUAACUGUGUCCUUUUUCUUAUUAUUCCCAGUAUUUAACAGUGUUGCUGUUCAAAAUUUCCAAUAAGCUGGCUGAUUUGUUUACCGAUUCUUCUUUCUUUUUUUUUUUUUCUUUUUUUUAAAAAAAAGCUCUGUAAAAUUGUAAAUACGAUGCAUUGUUGGUUGAACUAUAUGUGCUGAUUUCUAAAUAUAUCCUUUUAUUUGCUGUUGGUAAAAACCACUCAUCGCUGUCUGCAGGCUGUUUUUCUUCUUGUCCUCCGGUUACCGGAUAAAAGAACGGGGGUCACGCUGCUGUGUGGACGCAUAGACACUGUUUUGUUUAUCGAGUUCCCCGACUCCUAAAUCCCCGGCGCAGCUGUUCGGAGACGACGCGCGCGGUCCGGGGGCCUUGUGGUGGCAACAGCGGGGAAAAGGACACGUUUCAUUGUGGCCGUUAUCAAUAGAGAUGUGCCGGGACGGCUGUGGCUCCGUCUCUCGGGGCGGAAGCGAGAUACUAAACCACAAACUGCUUCCAGUGGAUGGACUGACGCCCUGCAUGGCAGCUGCCUCCAUUUAUGUGUGUGUGUGUAAAGCACUUUGAGGCAUUUAUCACUG
Molecule: RNA transcript, 2495 nt
Organism: Salarias fasciatus (jewelled blenny)
Lineage: Eukaryota; Metazoa; Chordata; Actinopteri; Blenniiformes; Blenniidae
Gene: lmod2b
Gene name: leiomodin 2 (cardiac) b
Exons: 7
Source: RefSeq, a predicted model, not a curated record